Molecule: ribosomal RNA, 1415 nt
Filed under: uncultured bacterium
Lineage: Bacteria
Description: 16S ribosomal RNA
Rfam family: Bacterial small subunit ribosomal RNA
Source: RNAcentral
AGAGUUUGAUCAUGGCUCAGAACGUACGCUGGCGGCACGCCUAACACAUGCAAGUCGAACGCAGUAGCAAUACUGAGUGGCAAACGGGUGAGUAUAAUGUGGGAAUCUGCCUUUUGGUUCGGAAUAACACGAGGAAACUUGUGCUAAUACCGGAUAAGCCCUUACGGGGAAAGUUUUAAUGCCAAAAGAUGAGCCCGCACUUGAUUAGCUAGUUGGUAAGGUAAUGGCUUACCAAGGCAACGAUCAAUAGCUGUUCUUAGAGGAAGACCAGCCACAUUGGGACUGAGACACGGCCCAAACUCCUACGGGAGGCAGCAGUGGGGAAUCUUGCACAAUGGAGGAAACUCUGAUGCAGCGAUGCCGCGUGAGUGAAGAAGGCCCUUGGGUUGUAAAGCUCUUUCGUCGGGGAAGAAAAUGACUGUACCCGAAUAAGAAGGUCCGGCUAACUUCGUGCCAGCAGCCGCGGUAAUACGAAGGGACCUAGCGUAGUUCGGAAUUACUGGGCUUAAAGAGUUCGUAGGUGGUUGAAAAAGUUAGUGGUGAAAUCCCAGAGCUUAACUCUGGAACUGCCAUUAAAACUUUUCAGCUAGAGUAUGAUAGAGGAAAGCAGAAUUUCUAGUGUAGAGGUGAAAUUCGUAGAUAUUAGAAAGAAUACCAAUUGCGAAGGCAGCUUUCUGGAUCAUUACUGACACUGAGGAACGAAAGCAUGGGUAGCGAAGAGGAUUAGAUACCCUCGUAGUCCAUGCCGUAAACGAUGUGUGUUAGACGUUGGAAAUUUAUUUUCUGUGUCGCAGCGAAAGCGAUAAACACACCGCCUGGGGAGUACGACCGCAAGGUUAAAACUCAAAUGAAUUGACGGGGACCCGCACAAGUAGUGGAGCAUGUGGUUUAAUUCGAAGAUACGCGCAGAACCUUACCAACACUUGACAUGUUCGUCGCGACUCUAAGAGAUUAGAGUUUUCGGUUCGGCCGGACGAAACACAGGUGCUGCAUGGCUGUCGUCAGCUCGUGUCGUGAGAUGUUGGGUUAAGUCCCGCAACGAGCGCAACCCUCACUUUUAGUUGCCAUCAUUAAGUUGGGCACUCUGAAAGAACUGCCAGUGAUAAGCUGGAGGAAGGUGGGGAUGACGUCAAGUCCUCAUGGCCCUUACGUGUUGGGCUACACACGUGCUACAAUGGUAUCUACAACAGGAAGCAAGACUGCGAGGUCAAGCAAAUCCCUAAAAGAUACCUCAGUUCGGAUUGCACUCUGCAACUCGAGUGCAUGAAGCUGGAAUUACUAGUAAUCGUGGAUCAGCGUGCCACGGUGAAUGCGUUCCCGGGUCUUGUACACACCGCCCGUCACACCAUGGGAGUUGGUUCUACCUUAAGGCAAGGUUUCAAACCCUUGACCACGGUAUAGUCAGCGACUGGGGU